UUGAUAGAUAGGCCUUUACGUCCAACCAUGCCUAAGGGGUUUUAUCAUGAAACUCAACUGCUUUCUUGGGUAUUAAGUUAUGAUGGUGUGCAUCCACCAGAUGCAUUGUCAGUUACUGCUGCUGGAAUUGCUAUGGCUCUGUCACAAGUACCGAAUUCACAAGUUAUUGCUGGGGUUCGAAUUGGUCUUAUUGGUGAAAAAUUCAUCCUGAAUCCAACCAUUAAGGAAAUGGAGAACUCCAAGUUGGAUUUGUUACUAGCGGGGACCAAAG
Molecule: unclassified non-coding RNA, 271 nt
Filed under: Hevea brasiliensis (rubber tree)
Lineage: Eukaryota; Viridiplantae; Streptophyta; Magnoliopsida; Malpighiales; Euphorbiaceae
Source: RNAcentral